This is a small nuclear RNA of Microtus ochrogaster (prairie vole), 160 nucleotides long. Its record names the gene U1. It matches the Rfam family "U1 spliceosomal RNA". From Rfam's summary of the family: U1 is a small nuclear RNA (snRNA) component of the spliceosome (involved in pre-mRNA splicing). Its 5' end forms complementary base pairs with the 5' splice junction, thus defining the 5' donor site of an intron. NCBI's taxonomy places the organism in Eukaryota, Metazoa, Chordata, Mammalia, Rodentia, Cricetidae. The record is from Ensembl.
AUAUUUCUGGCAAGUGGGGGCAUCGUGAACACAAAGGUGGUUUCCGGGGUGAGCCUCAUUCGCUGCAGCACAGAUGUGCAGACCCCAGCAAUUCCCCAAAUGCAAAAAACACAACUACAGAAUCUGUGAUGGUGAGGACUAUGUUCUUGCUCGCUCCUAA